UUAAGUUUGUAAACGGUUUCGAAUUAGUCCUUUUACCACAUCAUCUUUUGGUUAAUAGAAUGACUAAAUCGAAAACGUUUACAAACUUAAAGG
Molecule: microRNA precursor, 93 nt
Filed under: Medicago truncatula (barrel medic)
Lineage: Eukaryota; Viridiplantae; Streptophyta; Magnoliopsida; Fabales; Fabaceae
Description: miRNA gene32954
Rfam family: mir-286 microRNA precursor family
Source: RNAcentral